This 229-nucleotide ribosomal RNA is filed under the name uncultured bacterium. RNAcentral describes it as "partial 16S ribosomal RNA". It matches the Rfam family "Bacterial small subunit ribosomal RNA", at positions 568 to 796 of the family's 1533-position model. The record is from RNAcentral.
UGCGUAGGCGGAUAAAUAAGUCAGUGGUGAAAUCUUCCGGCUCAACCGGGAAACUGCCAUUGAUACUGUUUAUCUUGAGUUCGGUAGAGGUAGGCGGAAUGUGUAAUGUAGCGGUGAAAUGCUUAGAUAUUACACAGAACACCAAUUGCGUAGGCAGCUUACUAGACCGACACUGACGCUGAGGCACGAAAGCGUGGGGAGCGAACAGGAUUAGAUACCCUGGUAGUCC